AGUGAACGCUGGCGGUAGGCCUAACACAUGCAAGUCGAACGGAAGCACAUUAAGCGCUGGCUCUUCGGGGUGCCGAGUGGCGGACGGGUGGGGAAUACACCGGAAUUUACUUUUUGGUGGGGGCUAACGAAGGGAACUUAUCCCUAAUACCGCAUCCUACUUCCGGGUGAAGGCAGGGGAGUUUCGGCCUUUGGGGGUUUAAUCGCGCCGAUGUCGGAUUAGCUAGUUGGCGGGGUAAAGGCCCACCAAGGCGACGAUCCGUAGCUGGUCUGAGAGGAUGAUCAGCCACACUGGAACUGAGACACGGUCCAGACUCCUACGGGAGGCAGCAGUGGGGAAUAUUGGACAAUGGGCGCAAGCCUGAUCCAGCCAUACCGCAUGGGUGAAGAAGGCCUUCGGGUUGUAAAGCCCUUUUGUUGGGAAAGAAAAGCAGCAGGUUAAUACCCCGCUGUUCUGACGGUACCCAAAGAAUAAGCACCGGCUAACUUCGUG
RNAcentral lists this ribosomal RNA (492 nucleotides) under uncultured bacterium. RNAcentral describes it as "partial 16S ribosomal RNA". It matches the Rfam family "Bacterial small subunit ribosomal RNA", at positions 29 to 507 of the family's 1533-position model. The record is from RNAcentral.